UGCUUUAUAGGUUAAUUAAACCCUCAUAUUUUCGUUAUGAAAAUAAAUAAAUUUUUAAGCUU
This 62-nucleotide transfer RNA is filed under the name Tullbergia bisetosa. RNAcentral describes it as "tRNA-Glu". The record is from RNAcentral. Lineage: Eukaryota; Metazoa; Arthropoda; Collembola; Poduromorpha; Tullbergiidae.